This 279-nucleotide ribosomal RNA is filed under the name uncultured bacterium. RNAcentral describes it as "partial 16S ribosomal RNA". It matches the Rfam family "Bacterial small subunit ribosomal RNA", at positions 506 to 784 of the family's 1533-position model. The record is from RNAcentral.
UGCCAGCCGCCGCGGUAAUACGUAGGGUGCAAGCAUUAAUCGGAUUUAUUGGGCGUAAAGGGGGCGCAGGCGGAAUUUUAAGUCAGACGUGAAAGCCCAGGGCUCAACCCUGGAACUGCGUUUGAAACUACUUUUCUAGAGGAUAGGCGGAGAAAACGGAACUCCACAUGUAGCGGUGAAAUGCGUAGAUAUGUGGAAGAACACCCGUGGCGAAAGCGGUUUUCUAGCUUAUUCCUGACGCUCAGGCCCGAAAGCUAGGGGAGCAAACAGGAUUAGAUA